UGUACGUAGCGCUCCCUAGCUUUGUGACCGCUCUGUAACGCCCCCUCUAGUUACACUGUCAAAAAGACUGUGAGGUCGUUUCUCAAGUAGUCUCUAAAGGGUGGUGAAGAUCUACGUUAAUGAGGCAUCGUCCUUACCUUUUGUUGUGAUCUUUGCACUCUAGGGUUGUGGCUCUGAGCAGCGUCUUUGACCAGAUGACUUUGCUGAGACGGCAGGAGCUGGCCCCAGUCCUGUUGGGCUACCUGAAGCAGAGACACGCCUCGGGUAGGUCCAGUGAAGGUGGUGCUUUUUUGUGUCGUGUGCCUAAGAGAAAAGGCCUGUGGUGCCCUGGCUUUAUGAAUGUCUGCGUCUCCUAAUGAGUGUUUCCCGUGCAUCAUCGUUGCAGGCUCACCUUGUGGGUCCGACACAAGCAGCCUCAGUGCUUGGCUGGAGGAGAGCUUUGGCAAAUUCUCCAUCUAUGUGGAUUACAACGACCUGCGUGAGAUCAAUGCAGGCUUUGGCAGCGUAAGCGGACCGCCGUGAUACCCAUUUGUUCCCGUGACUGUUUUGGCCAACCAUGUUACGUCUAAUGAUUUUGUUGUUUUCUCCCCUGAAGUUUGAGGCGCUGGACAUUCUGAGCUCUUCUCAGGUCGCUCAACUGACGCUAGAGUCUGGAGCGCUGAACAGCGCGUCUCUGAUAAACAUGGUCUUUGAACGGCUAGAGCACGGCAACUCUUUCCAGAAUGUGGAAGAGUUCUUCGUGGCCCUCCACCAGACCUCACAGGUACGUCCUCGUGACUAAGAUGGCAAGCCAUAUUUUGGGCCUGAGUUGGCCAUUUUAAAUUGCAUUCGUGACACAAUUCGAGUUGUGACGUUCGCUUUCUGUGUGUCAUUCCCUCCAGGAUUUGGACAUCAGUCCUGUGGUGAGGGACAUCAUGAUGAAUCGAACCUUCACUAUCAUCAGUCUUCAUUUUGCCGAAUUUGUGACCGGCGACUGGGCUUCCUGGUUCACGGUGAAACUGACGCCUCUCCUUCCCAGCUGGACUGCAGAGAUGCUCCAGACAGCGACCGUACACACCGACUGCAACGGAUACCACAUCAUGGUUGUGGCUCUGAGCAGCGUCUUUGACCAGAUGACUUUGCUGAGACGGCAGGAGCUGGCCCCAGUCCUGUUGGGCUACCUGAAGCAGAGACACGCCUCGGGUAGGUCCAGUGAAGGUGGUGCUUUUUUUGUGUCGUGUGCCCUAAGAGAAAAGGCCUGUGGUGCCCUGGCUUUAUGAAUGUCUGCGUCUCCUAAUGAGUGUUUCCCGUGCAUCAUCGUUGCAGGCUCACCUUGUGGGUCCGACACAAGCAGCCUCAGUGCUUGGCUGGAGGAGAGCUUUGGCAAAUUCUCCAUCUAUGUGGAUUACAACGACCUGCGUGAGAUCAAUGCAGGCUUUGGCAGCGUAAGCGGACCGCCGUGAUACCCAUUUGUUCCCGUGACUGUUUUGGCCAACCAUGUUACGUCUAAUGAUUUUGUUGUUUUCUCCCCUGAAGUUUGAGGCGCUGGACAUUCUGAGCUCUUCUCAGGUCGCUCAACUGACGCUAGAGUCUGGAGCGCUGAACAGCGCGUCUCUGAUAAACAUGGUCUUUGAACGCCUAGAGCACGGCAACUCUUUCCAGAAUGUGGAAGAGUUCUUCGUGGCCCUCCACCAGACCUCACAGGUACGUCCUCGUGACUAAGAUGGCAAGCCAUAUUUUGGGCCUGAGUUGGCCAUUUUAAAGUGCAUUCGUGACACAAUUCCAGUUGUGACGGUCGCUUUCUGUGUGUCAUUCCCUCCAGGAUUUGGACAUCAGUCCUGUGGUGAGGGACAUCAUGAUGAAUCGAACCUUCACUAUCAUCAGUCUUCAUUUUGCCGAAUUUGUGACCGGCGACUGGGCUUCCUGGUUCACGGUGAAACUGACGCCUCUCCUUCCCAGCUGGACUGCAGAGAUGCUCCAGACAGCGACCGUACACACCGACUGCAACGGAUACCACAUCAUGUACGUAGCGCUCCCUAGCUUUGUGACCGCUCUGUAACGCCCCCUCUAGUUACACUGUCAAAAAGACUGUGAGGUCGUUUCUCAAGUAGUCUCUAAAGGGUGGUGAAGAUCUACGUUAAUGAGGCAUCGUCCUUACCUUUUGUUGUGAUCUUUGCACUCUAGGGUUGUGGCUCUGAGCAGCGUCUUUGACCAGAUGACUUUGCUGAGACGGCAGGAGCUGGCCCCCAGUCCUGUUGGGCUACCUGAAGCAGAGACACGCCUCGGGUAGGUCCAGUGAAGGUGGUGCUUUUUUUGUGUCGUGUGCCUAAGAGAAAAGGCCUGUGGUGCCCUGGCUUUAUGAAUGUCUGCGUCUCCUAAUGAGUGUUUCCCGUGCAUCAUCGUUGCAGGCUCACCUUGUGGGUCCGACACAAGCAGCCUCAGUGCUUGGCUGGAGGAGAGCUUUGGCAAAUUCUCCAUCUAUGUGGAUUACAACGACCUGCGUGAGAUCAAUGCAGGCUUUGGCAGCGUAAGCGGACCGCCGUGAUACCCAUUUGUUCCCGUGACUGUUUUUGGCCAACCAUGUUACGUCUAAUGAUUUUGUUGUUUUUCUCCCCUGAAGUUUGAGGCGCUGGACAUUCUGAGCUCUUCUCAGGUCGCUCAACUGACGCUAGAGUCUGGAGCGCUGAACAGCGCGUCUCUGAUAAACAUGGUCUUUGAACGGCUAGAGCACGGCAACUCUUUCCAGAAUGUGGAAGAGUUCUUCGUGGCCCUCCACCAGACCUCACAGGUACGUCCUCGUGACUAAGAUGGCAAGCCAUAUUUUUGGGCCUGAGUUGGCCAUUUUUAAAGUGCAUUCGUGACACAAUUCCAGUUGUGACGUUCGCUUUCUCUGUGUCAUUCCCUCCAGGAUUUGGAAAUCAGUCCUGUGGUGAGGGACAUCAUGAUGAAUCGAACCUUCACUAUAAUAAGUAUUCAUUUUUGCCGAAUUUGUGAACGGCGAACUGGGCUUCCUGGUUCACGGUGAAACUGACGCCUCUCCUUCCCCAGCUGGACUGCAGAGAUGCUCCAGACAGCGACCGUACACACCGACUGCAACGGAUACCACAUCAUGUACGUAGCGCUCCCUAGCUUUGUGACCGCUCUGUAACGCCCCCUCUAGUUACACUGUCAAAAAAAGACUGUGAGGUCGUUUCUCAAGUAGUCUCUAAAGGGUGGUGAAGAUCUACGUUAAUGAGGCAUCGUCCUUACCUUUUGUUGUGAUCUUUGCACUCUAGGGUUGUGGCUCUGAGCAGCGUCUUUGACCAGAUGACUUUGCUGAGACGGCAGGAGCUGGCCCCAGUCCUGUUGGGCUACCUGAAGCAGAGACACGCCUCGGGUAGGUCCAGUGAAGGUGGUGCUUUUUUGUGUCGUGUGCCUAAGAGAAAAGGCCUGUGGUGCCCUGGCUUUAUGAAUGUCUGCGUCUCCUAAUGAGUGUUUCCCGUGCAUCAUCGUUGCAGGCUCACCUUGUGGGUCCGACACAAGCAGCCUCAGUGCUUGGCUGGAGGAGAGCUUUGGCAAAUUCUCCAUCUAUGUGGAUUACAACGACCUGCGUGAGAUCAAUGCAGGCUUUGGCAGCGUAAGCGGACCGCCGUGAUACCCAUUUGUUCCCGUGACUGUGUUUGGCCAACCAUGUUACGUCUAAUGAUUUUGGUGUUUUCUCCCCUGAAGUUUGAGGCGCUGGACAUUCUGAGCUCUUCUCAGGUCGCUCAACUGACGCUAGAGUCUGGAGCGCUGAACAGCGCGUCUCUGAUAAACAUGGUCUUUGAACGCCUAGAGCACGGCAACUCUUUCCAGAAUGUGGAAGAGUUCUUCGUGGCCCUCCACCAGACCUCACAGGUACGUCCUCGUGACUAAGAUGGCAAGCCAUAUUUUUGGGCCUGAGUUGGCCAUUUUUAAAGUGCAUUCGUGACACAAUUCCAGUUGUGACGGUCGCUUUCUGUGUGUCAUUCCCUCCAGGAUUUGGACAUCAGUCCUGUGGUGAGGGACAUCAUGAUGAAUCGAACCUUCACUAUCAUCAGUCUUCAUUUUUGCCGAAUUUGUGACCGGCGACUGGGCUUCCUGGUUCACGGUGAAACUGACGCCUCUCCUUCCCAGCUGGACUGCAGAGAUGCUCCAGACAGCGACCGUACACACCGACUGCAACGGAUACCACAUCAUGUACGUAGCGCUCCCUAGCUUUGUGACCGCUCUGUAACGCCCCCUCUAGUUACACUGUCAAAAAAAGACUGUGAGGUCGUUUCUCAAGUAGUCUCUAAAGGGUGGUGAAGAUCUACGUUAAUGAGGCAUCGUCCUUACCUUUUGUUGUGAUCUUUGCACUCUAGGGUUGUGGCUCUGAGCAGCGUCUUUGACCAGAUGACUUUGCUGAGACGGCAGGAGCUGGCCCCAGUCCUGUUGGGCUACCUGAAGCAGAGACACGCCUCGGGUAGGUCCAGUGAAGGUGGUGCUUUUUUUGUGUCGUGUGCCUAAGAGAAAAGGCCUGUGGUGCCCUGGCUUUAUGAAUGUCUGCGUCUCCUAAUGAGUGUUUCCCGUGCAUCAUCGUUGCAGGCUCACCUUGUGGGUCCGACACAAGCAGCCUCAGUGCUUGGCUGGAGGAGAGCUUUGGCAAAUUCUCCAUCUAUGUGGAUUACAACGACCUGCGUGAGAUCAAUGCAGGCUUUGGCAGCGUAAGCGGACCGCCGUGAUACCCAUUUGUUCCCGUGACUGUUUUGGCCAACCAUGUUACGUCUAAUGAUUUUUGUUGUUUUUCUCCCCUGAAGUUUGAGGCGCUGGACAUUCUGAGCUCUUCUCAGGUCGCUCAACUGACGCUAGAGUCUGGAGCGCUGAACAGCGCGUCUCUGAUAAACAUGGUCUUUGAACGCCUAGAGCACGGCAACUCUUUCCAGAAUGUGGAAGAGUUCUUCGUGGCCCUCCACCAGACCUCACAGGUACGUCCUCGUGACUAAGAUGGCAAGCCAUAUUUUGGGGCCUGAGUUGGCCAAUUUUAAAGUGCAUUCGUGACACAAUUCCAGUUGUGACGGUCGCUUUCUGUGUGUCAUUCCCUCCAGGAUUUGGACAUCAGUCCUGUGGUGAGGGACAUCAUGAUGAAUCGAACCUUCACUAUCAUCAGUCUUCAUUUUGCCGAAUUUGUGACCGGCGACUGGGCUUCCUGGUUCACGGUGAAACUGACGCCUCUCCUUCCCAGCUUGACUGCCGAGAUGCUCCAGACAGCGACCGUACACACCGACUGCAACGGAUACCACAUCAUGUACGUAGCGCUCCCUAGCUUUGUGACCGCUCUGUAACGCCCCC
This is a long non-coding RNA of Cyprinus carpio carpio, 5307 nucleotides long. NCBI's taxonomy places the organism in Eukaryota, Metazoa, Chordata, Actinopteri, Cypriniformes, Cyprinidae. The record is from Ensembl.